CACACAACAGGUCUGGCCCUCAUUUGGGUUCUCUGAGUGACCACCAAUAAUAAUUUUUUUUUUGGGUGGAGGAGGCAAAUCCCAUAAUUUGGAACAUGAGUCCAGAAUCCUGCUCUCCAAAGUGGAGGGUGUCCUCUACACGUGGAGAAGGUGGUGCCAGAGCCCCUUUUUGGGGAGAUACACAUGGAAAGAGGAGUGCCUUCAUUCCCCCUUGUGCAGAGCACCAAGUCUCCCCUUGAAUGGAAUUUUUUGGAAGUUACAAGCCUUUGAAAAUCUCUUCCUCCAAUUUUGAUACAACAGUGUACCUACUUUAACAUAUCCAGAACAGGAAACGUGGACUGUAGUUUGCCUCAUUUUGGAUUCAGGUUGCUGUUAUCCCACUAUUUCAUUGUGAUCCCUGUGUGUGACUGUCAAAGAAUGCCAGAAUGUUGGCAUAUAUAUCAAGUGUGCAUCUGGUUUUAUAUUUUAUAAGACCUAUGCUAUCCCUUUGAAGAUA
Mauremys reevesii (Reeves's turtle) is the source of this 496-nucleotide long non-coding RNA. RefSeq lists it as uncharacterized. The transcript is spliced from 3 exons. NCBI's taxonomy places the organism in Eukaryota, Metazoa, Chordata, Testudines, Geoemydidae. The record is from RefSeq and is a predicted model, not a curated record.